This is a long non-coding RNA of Paramormyrops kingsleyae, 375 nucleotides long. RefSeq lists it as uncharacterized. The record is from RefSeq and is a predicted model, not a curated record. Lineage: Eukaryota; Metazoa; Chordata; Actinopteri; Osteoglossiformes; Mormyridae.
CAUAAAUUUAGCAUACCACUGAUUGAAGGUGAGCAAUUACGGAGCUCGCCUGGGUCCAGUGCAUAUCCACAACCAUGGAGAAAAAGUGGGAGGAGAUUUUCGAUUACCUUUCUAAGGCGUCAUACCCACCAGCACUGAAUAAAGGACAAAGGCAAAGCCUUAGAAAAUACUCUUCUAAAUUCAGUAUUCAUGAUGGGAAACUAUUCUUCGAUGCAAGUUGCAAGGGUGCAAGUCGACGAAGAGUAAUCAAGACAAAGGAGGAGGCCAUGCAUCUUUUUAAGGAAUUUCAUGCCUCACCAAUUGGAGGACACACUGGUAUUAUGAAAACUCGAACUGCCAUGUGUUCAAUGUUCUAUUGGUAUGGCAUGACAACAG